Molecule: ribosomal RNA, 286 nt
Filed under: uncultured Anaerolineaceae bacterium
Lineage: Bacteria; Bacillati; Chloroflexota; Anaerolineae; Anaerolineales; Anaerolineaceae
Description: partial 16S ribosomal RNA
Rfam family: Bacterial small subunit ribosomal RNA
Source: RNAcentral
AAGUCCCGCUAACGAGCGCAACCCUUGUCGUAUGUUACAAGUGUCAUACGAGACUGCCGGUAAAAGCCGGAGGAAGGUGAGGAUGAUGUCAAGUCAGCAUGACCUUUAUAUCCAGGGCUACACACACGCUACAGUGGUCUGUACAAUGGGUAGCCAAGCCGCGAGGCGGAGCCAAUCCUGAAAGCAGGCCUCAGUUCAGAUUGCAGUCUGCAACUCGACUGCAUGAAGCCGGAGUUGCUAGUAACCGCAGGUCAGCAAUACUGCGGUGAAUACGUUCCCGGGUCUU